This 1852-nucleotide long non-coding RNA is filed under the name Heterocephalus glaber (naked mole-rat). Its description in RNAcentral is "lncRNA (ENSHGLG00000039627.1)". Lineage: Eukaryota; Metazoa; Chordata; Mammalia; Rodentia; Bathyergidae. The record is from RNAcentral.
CUAAGGUCAGGCACCUCUGCAGCACUCCACAGGUUUUGGCCUCAGUCACAUGGGGGUUGUUUUUUUUUUGUACCGGGGCUCGAACUCAGGUCCUUGCGCUUGCGCAGCAGGCGGCAAAACCACUGAGCUACAUCCCCGGCCCCUACGCUCCACGCGUUUGAACAUGGGAACCUUUAUCCAAACCCUGGCGCCUCCCACAGGCCCUGGCUCCUCAUACCGUGAUGCUGGGGUUAAGAUUUAAAGGUGUGAGUUUUAGGGGCUCACAGUCGUGAAGUGGGUGCCUGAGUGCGCGUCUGCACUGUGCACAAAGGGCUCGAUGAUGCCGCUGGGAUCUCCCACUGCCUACCAGUUCCCCGGCAGGCCUCCUGGGUCACAGCUGCCCUGCCCUGGGCACAGUCCCUGCGUGACCACGGCAGAGGGAACAGACGCGCUGCGACCCGAGUGGCUGCUAAUCGUGGACUCUCCCACCGUUACCUUUCGCCCCAGCAUUUCACCUUCAGCCCUGAAGAGCGGGGCUGGAAUCCCCCCAGAGCUCGGGGACCUGGGUCCUGGGUCCCUGGGCACUUGGGGCUCCCCCGUGACAGGGCCUCCCUGCCUCUCCUGGGCCAGGUGGCAUGUGGCCCAGUGCCAGGCGCUGGCUUGGAAAGUGUACACCCCGCUUCCCUCCACAGUUCUGCAGUGGAAGAGGGAGAGAGACAGAAUCCCGCUGCCCGAAGCCAGCACCUGAUUGACGGGCUGUGUCUCUGCAGGACUGGGAGAAGCACUUGCUGGACGCUGCGGGCAGCAAGCCCGGCGACUGGCACAGUGAGCUAGACGGGGACUGGCCGGGGCCCAUGCUGCAGAAGCCGCUCUACCAGGCUGGCCUGAAACCGGAGAGAAUCAGCCAAGACCCCUGGCUGCCUGAGAAGAUGACAGGCACCGGCUACCUGACGCAGUACGACCUCUCGGAAUUCCAGAGCAUCAGCGCCAUCGGGCUGGAGCUGUGGCAGGUGAGGUCGGGAACCAUCUUUGAUAACUUCCUGCUCACAGAUGAUGAGGAGUAUGCAGAAAAUUUUGGGAAAGCCACCUAGGGCCAAACCAAGGUAUAGAGGAUGCACACACUUCCUGUGAGCACUCACCAGCUUGUGUGACUCCCACACUGGAGUCUGUCACGUGGGAGAGGACUCCGGGGUCUGACGAGUGAACCCCCAGCCAGCUUAGAGCACAGGAGGUUUCCAGGGGCCUCCUUCACCUCUCAAGAAGCAUACCCUGUUCACCCCUGAGGAUCCUACAGCCAGACGGGGCAGCCAGCUCCCAGCAGAGGAAAGGCUCCUUUCGGCUCAUGACUCUGGAGGGUCCAAUCCACGGUCACCCACCGGAGGGGAUGCAUCUGUGCUGGGGCUGCCAUCCCCAAUGACCACACGUGGUGCCUUGAGACAGCAGAAUCCACUGCCCUCACGGCUCUGGGGCCAGAAGUCCAAAGUUGUAUCACUGGGCUGAAAUCAAGAUGGGUAUAGGCUGUGGAAGCCAGGAUCUACUCCUGGUGUUCCCUGGCUUGUGACUGCAUCAUGCUAAUCUCUCCUCCAGCGUCACAUGGUCUGCUCUUCUUGUCCCUGUGUAUCAGAUCUCCUUUAUCAUCUCUCUCUUUUUUGUUUUUUGGUACUGGGAAUCAAACUGAGGACCUUGCGCUUGGGAGGCAGGCAUGGUGCCACUGAGAUAAAUCCCCAGCCCACCUUUAUCGUCUCUUACGAGGACGCUUAGGACUGGAUCUAAAUCUAGGAUUGCUCAGCUUGGUAGCCAACCUGUGGCGUGGAACCUUUGAGAGGGGUCCUGGUGGGAGGAAGUGAGGUCACUGGGUGUGGUCUCAAAGGGC